RNAcentral lists this ribosomal RNA (465 nucleotides) under uncultured bacterium. RNAcentral describes it as "partial 16S ribosomal RNA". It matches the Rfam family "Bacterial small subunit ribosomal RNA", at positions 28 to 507 of the family's 1533-position model. The record is from RNAcentral.
GACUAACGCUGGCGGCGUGCUUAACACAUGCAAGUCGUACGGUAAGGCCCUUUCGGGGGUACACGAGUGGCGAACGGGUGAGUAACACGUGAGUAACCUGCCCACAACUUUGGGAUAACGCUAGGAAACUGGUGCUAAUACUGGAUAUGUGCUCCUGCUGCAUGGUGGGGGUUGGAAAGCUCCGGCGGUUGUGGAUGGACUCGCGGCCUAUCAGCUUGUUGGUGGGGUAGUGGCCUACCAAGACGGCGACGGGUAGCCGGCCUGAGAGGGUGACCGGCCACAUUGGGACUGAGAUACGGCCCAGACUCCUACGGGAGGCAGCAGUGGGGAAUAUUGCACAAUGGGCGCAAGCCUGAUGCAGCAACGCCGCGGGCGGGAUGACGGCCUUCGGGUUGUAAACCGAUUUCAGCAGGGACGAAGCUUUUUGUGACGGUACCUGCAGAAGAAGCACCGGCUAACUACGUG